CCCCCCCCCCCCCCCCUCCCUUUUCCUUUCUUUCUUUUUUUUUUUUUUUACAGACUUAGGAUGGCUUGUCUUGUUAGUUACUUUUCUUCCUGCCAGCCCCCAUCCUCAAGUUCUCCAAUGCAACUUCAGAGGAUCAUCUUUGAUACCUCUGCAUCUGAAUAAUAUGGUUUCUGUCCCAUGCUGUAGCUGACGGUAGGAUGGACUCUGAGUGCAACUGAGAGGUUGCUUCCUCCAUAGUUUCCUAUUGCAUCUCAUACUGGUUAGGGUAAGCAAUUACAGAGGAAAUUUGACUUCUCCAUGGAGUAGUGUGUGCCUGACAGCUAGCUGGAGACAGCACACACGGAAUUGAGUCAGUGCUCCGAGUGCGGUCUUGAGUUGCAGUAAAGGUAAAACAACUGCAGACUGAUAGUUUAGCUUCUAAGGAGCAUAUACAGAUAGCAUGUUUGCCUCUAAUACUUAAAAGGCGAGGUUCUGAGAUCAUAUUUCAUGGACUGCUUCCUAUAGAUUUCAAGAAAUCCAAUCGUUCUGAAGUAUAGCCGUGCGCUAUUAUUAUUUAAAGGGAACAAACUGUUUUGAAACCCAUUACGUGGGAAGGAACCGAGGGCGGAAGUGACGUCAAGGCGUGCCUUCACUGAGGACCAAAACGGCUCCAUGAUUGGCUGGACCGUGAGGGCAGAUGUAGCGUCACGGCUAGCCUUCACUGAGGGCGGAAACACUCCGUGACUGGCUCGGAGGAACCCAGGGCGGAAGUGCCUUGCAGGGCUUGCCGGCACUAUGGGCGGAAGCUGUCGGGCCGGGCCGGGCUCGGCUCGGGCCAGGCCGCCGAGGCGCGGUGCUGCAACGAGGGCAGAAGCAGCUCCCCGCCGCAAGGACCCCUGUGGGGUUUGUUGCCGAGCGAAGGUGGCGCAUUGGCUAAACGGAGGAAAGCUGCAGCUGGCGUGCUGCAGUCGCAGGUUUCCCAGGAGAAAGAGCAGCCCGUCUGUCCAGGCCCCCGGACACAACCGAGGACCCACCCCGGUGACGCCCAGCGUGCUCCCGUGUGCCCUGAGCACCCACCACGGAGAACCCCGGCCUGCCCCCGAGCAGCCCAUAGGAACCACCCCGGUGACCCCCGGCCCUGCAUGUCCCCAGGUACCCACCCCGGUGACGCUCCCGGUCCGCCUGGUCCCCGGAACACCCACCCCGGUGACCGCCCCGGGCCCCCCAAGUCCACCACCCAAGGACCCACAACGGUGAUUCCCCAGGAUCGUCGUUCACCCCGGAUGACCCUCCCCGCUGACCCCUAUGGGCCACCCAAGUCUCCGGUGGACACAUGCCGUUGACCCCUCCGGCCUCCCUGGUACCCAGAGGACCCACCCCGGUCACAUCCCCGGGGGCCCGCUAGGACUCAAACCAGUGAGCACCCCUGGGUCCCCGGGGGCCCCCGAGUACCCACCCUGGUGAUCACCCCCGGGCCCCCCAGGCGCCCCGGAGGACCCGCCCGGGUGACACUCCAGUGUCCCUCGAAGGCUGCGGAGGACAAACUCCGGUGAUCCCCCUGGGACCUCGAGGUCCCCGGAGAAGCCACCCUGGUGUCCUCCACAGAUACCAGAGGUCCCCGGAGGAACCAACUCUGGUGAACCCCUAGGUCCCCCCAGGUCCCCAGACCACCAACCCCUGUGACAACCCAGAGUCCCUCGGAAGCCCCAGAGGACCUAUCCCUGUGAUCCCCCCCACCCGGGCCGCCCAGGGCACCGGAGGAGCAAAGCAGGUGAGCCCCACGGGAUGCCAAACUCCCCGGAGGACCCAAAAUUGUGUCCUCCCUUGGUCCCCUUGGUCCCGGAGGAUCCACCACGGUGACAACCCCGAUUCCUUGGGCGCACGGUAAGACUAAUCCCGGUGACACCUCCGGGCCCCCCAGGUCCCCUGAAGUGCCACACCGGUGAAAGCCGGAUUGCCUGCGGGCGCCUUGG
Molecule: long non-coding RNA, 1952 nt
Organism: Anser cygnoides (Swan goose)
Lineage: Eukaryota; Metazoa; Chordata; Aves; Anseriformes; Anatidae
Source: Ensembl